RNAcentral lists this ribosomal RNA (537 nucleotides) under uncultured bacterium. RNAcentral's name for it is "bacterial SSU rRNA". It matches the Rfam family "Bacterial small subunit ribosomal RNA", at positions 767 to 1308 of the family's 1533-position model. The record is from RNAcentral.
AGCUAAUAGAUACCCAGGUAGUCCACGCCCUAAACGAUGUCUACUAGUUGUUGGUGGAGUAAAAUCCAUGAGUAAACGCAGCUAACGCGUGAAGUAGACCGCCUGGGGAGUACGGUCGCAAGAUUAAAACUCAAAGGAAUUGACGGGGGCCCGCACAAGCGGUGGAUUAUGUGGAUUAAUUCGAUGCAACGCGAAAACCUUACCUGGCCUUGACAUGCCACUAACGAAGCAGAGAUGCAUUAGGUGCCCGUAAGGGAAAGUGGACACAGGUGCUGCACGGCUGUCGUCAGCUCGUGUCGUGAGAUGUUGGGUUAAGUCCCGCAACGAGCGCAACCCUUGCCAUUAAUUGCCAUCAUUUAGUUGGGCACUUUAAUGGGACUGCCGGUGACAAACCGGAGGAAGGUGGGGAUGACGUCAAGUCCUCAUGGCCCUUAUGGCCAGGGCUUCACACGUAAUACAAUGGUCGGUACAGAGAGUUGCCAACCCGCGAGGGGAGCUAAUCUCAGAAAGCCGAUCGUAGUCCGGACUGUUCUCUGC